This 492-nucleotide ribosomal RNA is filed under the name uncultured bacterium. RNAcentral's name for it is "partial 16S ribosomal RNA". It matches the Rfam family "Bacterial small subunit ribosomal RNA", at positions 29 to 507 of the family's 1533-position model. The record is from RNAcentral.
AGUGAACGCUGGCGGUAGGCCUAACACAUGCAAGUCGAACGGCAGCACAGUAAGAGCUUGCUCUUACGGGUGGCGAGUGGCGGACGGGUGAGGAAUACAUCGGAAUCUACUUUUUCGUGGGGGAUAACGUAGGGAAACUUACGCUAAUACCGCAUACGACCUACGGGUGAAAGCAGGGGAUCUUCGGACCUUGCGCGAUUGAAUGAGCCGAUGUCGGAUUAGCUAGUUGGCGGGGUAAAGGCCCACCAAGGCGACGAUCCGUAGCUGGUCUGAGAGGAUGAUCAGCCACACUGGAACUGAGACACGGUCCAGACUCCUACGGGAGGCAGCAGUGGGGAAUAUUGGACAAUGGGCGCAAGCCUGGUCCAGCCAUACCGCGUGGGUGAAGAAGGCCUUCGGGUUGUAAAGCACUUUUGUUGGGAAAGAAAAGCAGCAGGUUAAUACCCCGCUGUUCUGACGGUACCAAAAGAAUAAGCACCGGCUAACUUCGUG